Long non-coding RNA from Canis lupus familiaris (dog), 3930 nucleotides. RefSeq lists it as uncharacterized. NCBI's taxonomy places the organism in Eukaryota, Metazoa, Chordata, Mammalia, Carnivora, Canidae. The record is from RefSeq and is a predicted model, not a curated record. The transcript has 3 exons.
UCCGUAUAUUAUUAAGAAUCGGGGAACAAGGGUUUUUGCCAGUAGAGAUGUAAAUUAGAACAACCACUGAGAAUGCUGUGCUGUAUAUGCCAGAUUGACUCUUUCAACUGCCAGUCUUCCUUCCUAGUCAGCGAGGUUGCAAAAUACGUGCACUUCCCGUAUUUGUGCAGCUCGUAUCCGGAAGCUAAUUAGACUUUCACAAUUAUUUGUUCUCUGCACGAUCUGAAAAGAGACACGAGGCCGAGGCCAUCUUUUUGAGGCUCUUGAGUGUUGUAAGGUUGUGGGACACCUGUUUGCACGCAGCAGUCAGGGGUGGAAAGUCUGUCCUCGCGCUUUCUGGACACGGAGAAGUAGCGCUGGUGGCCGCAGCUCCUUACGAUGACCUGUCAAUCCCUAGAUUGUGGGACGACACCGUGCUUGUCCAGGUUGCCAGGAGGGAGCGCGGUGGCGGUGCUGGCCUCCGGCUUCUGGCGGGGUUCCACCGGGGCAGGAGAGUCCCCGGCCCCUGCCAGCACCUGACAUGGGCGUUUGUAAAAGUCAUAACCCUUCUAAUAGGCGUAUAUAUCAUUGUGGCUUGAACUUGUAUUUCCUUUUUUUUUUCUUCUAGUAGAAUUUUACUUUCAUAUAGAGUGGGAAAAAAAAAAAAAAAACCUAAAAGGUUAAAGCAAGUCCAACAACCACCUCUACGCAAUAAAGCCUUUGCGAAUGUCAACUGAAGUGAUCCAGAGCUAAAACUGAAUUAUGCAGAUUUUCAGUGAAGUCACCCAGUCAUGUAAUGCAAACAAAAGUCAACUAUUUACACGUUAGGCGAGCCUCUCAAAAAUGCACCCCAAGAAGCAUUCAUCUUUGUUUUUUGCUUUUUGUUUUUGUUUUGUUUUGUUUUGUUUUCGUAUGCCAUCCAAAGACUUGCACGUUUUUUCAGAUUAUUUAAUCUUUUCAAUAGAACGUGGCCUGUCCCGUGUGGUAAUGCUCUGGUACUAUUCGUUUAGGAUGGCUCCUCCUGCAACCAGACGUGUCCCCAGAGGGGCUUUGGUUCUGCUUUAGAAGUUCCAAUAGAGAUUAAAAUCUUUUUUGAAUCAAAUAUCAGUAUGGAGGGAGGGGACGCGGGGUGCAACAUAGACCAGCAGGUUACCUCUCUGUAUGUUAGAGAUCACUCCUUUGAGGUAUUUGCGCCACAGCCUGGUCCGUCCUGCUUCAUAUUAGGUAGUACAGGUUUGAAUCAUCAGAACCUUGGCAAGACCUGAUUUUUUUUUCAAAAUUACAAUUACCUCUAGGAGCAAGUCCAUGUUACUGAGUCAUGGGAAAUUUAAUAUCGUGAAGGAAAACAAGUAUAGCCAGGCAUCUUUAAAAAUAUGCCCCAACCACUGCUUCUCAAUAUUGAAAAACUAAAACUACAUACGUUUAUUGUACAACAAAUCCCAUCUGGGUCCCCUGAAAUUCCCCUAGUUUCAUUCAUUAGAAAGGGAUUAGGAAAAAAAAAAGAGACUUAGCACUUUAUUAUUAUUUUUUUAAAGAUUUUAUUUAUUCAUGAGAGACACAGAGAGAGAGGCAGAGACACAGGCAGAGGGAGAUGCAGGCUCCAUGCAGGGAGCCCGAUGCAGAACUCGAUCCCAGGACCCUUGGGUCACGUUCUGAGUCCAAGGCAGGUGCUCAACCCCUGAGCCACCCGGGGGUCCCUACAAAUCGCUUUCAUAGAAACUAACAAGCUGAUUCUAAAAUUCAUGUAGAAGUGAGCCUAAAAUGGUCAAAGACAAUUUUGGAAGAAAACAAAGGUGAAGGCCCAGGACGACUUGAUGUCAAGACCAACCUUGAAACUGCACUAACCGGGGUCGUGUGGUCUGGGCAUCAAGAGAGACAAAUCAGUGGAAUAGAAUGGUGUUCGGAAAUAGAACCGCCCAUCUGUGGACAACUGAUUUUCAACAAAGGUGCAAUAAAGGACAGUCUUUUCAACAAAUGGUGCUGCAGCAGAAAUGAAACAAAACAUUAACUUCCAUGUCUACCUUGUAUCAUAUAUAUAAAAAACCCAACAAUCUCCAAAUGAAUCCUGGACCUGAAACUAUAAAACUUUUCAAAUACAUAGAAAAUCUUUGGGACCGGGAGCUAAGCAGAGAGUUCUUAGAAACAACACCAAAACACAACCCAUAAAGGAAAAGUUGUCAGAUUUCAUCAGAAUUAAUUAAUUAAUUUUUAUUUAUUUUUAGAUUUCAUCAGAAUUUAAAAUUUCUCUUUGAAAGGCAUUAGAGAAUGAAAAGAGAAGUUGGACUGGGAGGAAAUAGCUCCAAAUCUUAUCUCUGAUAAAGAACCUGUAUCCAAAAUGUAUAAGGAAAUCUCAAAAAUAAAUGUAAAAAUAGAUUAUUUGAACAGACAUGGCACUAAGAAGAUAAACAGAAGUCAAGCGCGUGGAAGAGUGUUCGACAGGAACAGAAGCAGGCUCCAUGCAGGGAGCCCGAUGCGGACUCGAUCCCGGGACCCCGGGGUCACGCCCUGGGCCAAAGGCAGAUGCGUGCAACCUCCACGUUCCCUUUGUUUCACAAUUCUGGCUACAUAUUUAGGCGCACACUCUCUGAACACCCUUGACCCUUUGUCCAUCCUUAGAUAGCUCCAUUUCUGAAAAAGAGUCAAGUCAUAACUCAAACUGCUUGACCCUCGCUCCUCCUUUCUUUUCACACUCAUCAGUAUAGGAGAGGGAUGGAGACUGGACACAGGCCAGACGCCCAGCUCUGAAAUUUUACAUUGUGUCUCCCAGUGAGACUUGAGCAAUUUACUUAACUUUCUUUGCCCAGCUUCUUCAUUUAUAAAAUAGAGAUAAUAAUAGUAUUUACCUCAUAGGGUGGCUGAGAAUAUUAAAUGAGUCAUUAGAUAUAAAGUGCAUAGAAUACACCAGGAUGGUAAAUUCUUAAUAUUAGCAAUUAUGACUAUUAGCAGAAGAUUUUGCUUGUGUCAUUUUGCCGGAGGCGAACACCUCCCACCAGCUCUAUCCCACCUCCUCCCACCUCGUGGUCUUUUAAUAGAUGAUCUCAUUUUUCCCACAGCAUGUUGAACAACAUUCUUUACUGGUCCUUCUUCUAGAAUUAUAAACACGAUCAAGAACCUCCCACUUAAAAAUCUAUCCUUAAUGGCAUGACUAGUAAUUGGAUCCAGACACUCGAAGGGACAUAAGAGCAAAAGCAAGUUCUUGCGAGUAAAUCUGAUGAAGUGGUUUGCCACGAGAAUCGCCUGACACUCCAAAGCAAAAGCACUGAACAAAAGUCGACUUUCACAGAAGUGGCUAUCGCAUGAUUUCUCCUGCAAGGACCAGUACUUUCUAUUCCGUGAUGAUCUGCGUCCUCUGCUAUGCUUCAUCUCAUGCUUGACUGAUUCCAAGUGUGAAGGGGGUUAACUGUAUUCGCUAUUGGCAAUUUAGCAUUAAUUGUAAUACGCUGUAAUCCAAAUUACAAUCUGUCAUUGCCAGUCAAAUUGUGAAGCGUUGUAAUUGCGUUUUAGAGUUCCGCUGCCGUUGAUGAUUGCUACCUCAUUUGUGUUUUAAUAUCCCGUGACGAAUUUGCAAAUGGAAAUACAAUCCUGUAACAAGCCAGGAAACAAGCAUUGUUCGUCCUAUUAUAACAGCUAGAAAAUUAUUUCUUAACAAAUGAAAAGGGAAAGAGAUGGUAAGACAGUGAAGAGAAAUCAUUUAAGGACGAAAAAGAUGCAAAAAGACUUCAGUUUUCUAGCGGCUCAUAAAAGUAAGUGAGCCGUAGAGUUUUUUGGGAACACGUUUUUAAACAAGACGUUACAGAAUAAUCUUUAAAAUUAUUUGUGAAAGCUACCCGUACUAAUACAAAUUGCUCUAGUUUAUUGAUUUGAAUUGGUGUAGAGAAUUCCCCAGCAUACUCAACAUUCUUUCCUUGGUGAUCCUUCCUGUUGUUUUUACUGUUAAAAAUCAUGCUACUG